GGCCUCCCUCUUUGGGGCGAUCCAUCAUGGAGUCCCCUCAUCGAUUGCCCCACAGAGGGUGGCC
Molecule: non-coding RNA, 64 nt
Organism: Myotis lucifugus (little brown bat)
Lineage: Eukaryota; Metazoa; Chordata; Mammalia; Chiroptera; Vespertilionidae
Source: Rfam